RNAcentral lists this ribosomal RNA (450 nucleotides) under uncultured bacterium. RNAcentral's name for it is "bacterial SSU rRNA". It matches the Rfam family "Bacterial small subunit ribosomal RNA", at positions 354 to 796 of the family's 1533-position model. The record is from RNAcentral.
GUGGGGAAUUUUGGACAAUGGGCGCAAGCCUGAUCCAGCAAUGCCGCGUGCAGGAAGAAGGCCUUCGGGUUGUAAACUGCUUUUGUACGGAACGAAACGGCUCUGGUUAAUACCCGGGGCUAAUGACGGUACCGUAAGAAUAAGCACCGGCUAACUACGUGCCAGCAGCCGCGGUAAUACGUAGGGUGCAAGCGUUAAUCGGAAUUACUGGGCGUAAAGCGUGCGCAGGCGGUUGUGUAAGACAGGCGUGAAAGCCCCGGGCUCAACCUGGGAAUUGCGCUUGUGACUGCACAGCUGUAGUGCGGCAGAGGGGGAUGGAAGUCCGCGUGUAGCAGUGAAAUGCGUAGAUAUGCGGAGGAACACCGAUGGCGAAGGCAAUCCCCUGGGCCUGCACUGACGCUCAUGCACGAAAGCGUGGGGAGCAAACAGGAUUAGAUACCCUUGUAGUCC